Molecule: ribosomal RNA, 460 nt
Filed under: uncultured bacterium
Lineage: Bacteria
Description: partial 16S ribosomal RNA
Rfam family: Bacterial small subunit ribosomal RNA
Source: RNAcentral
ACGAACGCUGGCGGCGUGCUUCACACAUGCCAGUCGAACGGAAAGGCCCAGCUUGCUGGGUGCUCGAGUGGCGAACGGGUGAGUAACACGUGGGUGAUCUGCCCCUAACUUCGGGAUAAGCUUGGGAAACUGGGUCUAAUACCGGAUAGGACAAUCGUUUAGUGUCGGUUGUGGAAAGUUUUUUCGGUUAGGGAUGAGCCCGCGGCCUAUCAGCUUGUUGGUGGGGUAAUGGCCUACCAAGGCGUCGACGGGUAGCCGGGCUGAGAGGGUGGACGGCCACAUUGGGACUGAGAUACGGCCCAGACUCCUACGGGAGGCAGCAGUGGGGAAUAUUGCACAAUGGGCGCAAGCCUGAGGCAGCGACGCCGCGUGGGGGAUGACGGCCUUCGGGUUGUAAACCUCUUUCGACAGGGACGAAGCUUUGGUGACGGUACCUGUAUAAGAAGCACCGGCUAACUAC